RNAcentral lists this long non-coding RNA (1098 nucleotides) under Piliocolobus tephrosceles (Ugandan red Colobus). RNAcentral's name for it is "lncRNA (ENSPTEG00000038776.1)". The record is from RNAcentral. Lineage: Eukaryota; Metazoa; Chordata; Mammalia; Primates; Cercopithecidae.
UUUUUUUUUUUUUAAAGUUAUUGUCGUUAUUUUUUAGAGACAGGGUCUUGCUACAUGCCCAGGCUAGAGUGCAGUGGCUAUUCACAGAUGACCAUGAUAAUGCACCACAGCCUCAAACUCCUGGGCUCAAGCAGUCUUCUUGCCUCUCAACCUCCCGAGUAGCUGGGACUACAAGCAUGCGCUACAGCCCCUAGAUCUUAUUUCCUUUUUUCAUACACACAACUGCUCCAGCUCAGCCUUCCUUAUGACCUCCCUCUAGAAGAAAAAUACUUUCCCUACCCUCAACAUACCAAACUUUUUUCCUUUUCCCGUCUUCCUCAAUAAUUUAUGUAGAUGGAUUUUUUUCUUCUGGCUUAGCCAGAAGAAAUUCUUCCUUUUCUUAAGGGUACAAUGCUGAAACUGGGUUGAAAAGGAUAAGAUUUUUUCUAGGGCUUUGGAGAAGAGAGAAAACAUGUCAACACUCUUACAUUCAUACUUUUAUCCUAUUGCAGCUAUAAUAAAAGGCCAUCAAUCCAACAGGAGGGGAAGCAGGGGUGAGUGGUUUGUCUCUAAAGCCAGUGAAGAAGAUCUUGGCACGUGCUUGCCUGUGACUGUGUUCAAUAGCUUCAAAUACAUUUUGUGACUGAAGGCACUGCACUGUGACCAAAAGUGCCAAAUGACUUUUUUGAGUCUGUGUUAAAUACAUCAGGUUUCCACUGAUGCCUGGAAGAGGUAGAUCAGUCUGUGUGGUAAUAUCAAGGGAAACCUCUAUUCCUUGAGAGCCCAAGGGGUAGGAAGCAAACAGAUGCAAUGGCAGUCUCAUUAGAAUGGCUGGUGAUUUGCUAAUUCGACUAUUUGAAGGAAUUCAACAAUUCAAGUCGGAGCUACAAAAGUCACAAUUUUGAAGCCCACACAAGAAAGUCUCAUUUGAAUCUUUACUCAUUUGGAAAUGGAAAAGUCCCUAGGAUCGCCCAGCAUCCACAACAAAGCAGGGUCUGCUAAAUUCCCAUCAUUUGGGAAGAGGAGCUUUUUUUUUUUUUUUUUUUUUUUUUUGCCUGAACUAUCCUCCAGAUCUCCUGGGCGGGAUGGCAAAAAAAUAAAAAAAUAAAAAAAAGGUCA